RNAcentral lists this ribosomal RNA (272 nucleotides) under uncultured bacterium. RNAcentral's name for it is "partial 16S ribosomal RNA". It matches the Rfam family "Bacterial small subunit ribosomal RNA", at positions 335 to 604 of the family's 1533-position model. The record is from RNAcentral.
AGUCCUACGGGACGCAGCAGUGAGGAAUAUUGGUCAAUGGGCGAGAGCCUGAACCAGCCAAGUCGCGUGACGUAAGACGGUCCUAUGGAUUGUGAACCUCUUUUGCCGGAGAGCAAAAAGCGGUACGUGUACCGCAUCGAAAGUACCCGGAGAAAAAGCAUCGGCUAACUCCGUGCCAGCAGCCGAGGUAAUACGGAGGAUGCGAGCGUUAUCCGGAUUUAUUGGGUUUAAAGGGUGCGCAGGCGGCGAGUUAAGUCAGCGGUAAACUUUCG